AGCUUUGCGCAGUGGCAGUAUCGUAGCCAAUGAGGUUUAUCCGAGGCGCGAUUAUUGCUAAUUGAAAACUUAGGAGCCCUCUGCCCUCUGGGGGAAAGAGACGUGGGUUUUUUUUUUUUUUUUUUUGGCAGAAA
Small nuclear RNA from Herpailurus yagouaroundi (jaguarundi), 134 nucleotides. RefSeq annotates it as U4 spliceosomal RNA. NCBI's taxonomy places the organism in Eukaryota, Metazoa, Chordata, Mammalia, Carnivora, Felidae. The record is from RefSeq and is a predicted model, not a curated record. The transcript has a single exon.